CGUAGGUGGCAAGCGUUGUCCGGAUUUAUUGGGUUUAAAGGGUGCGUAGGCGGUCUUCUAAGUCAGUUGUGAAAUACUUCAGCUUAACUGGAGAGGUGCAAUUGAUACUGGAAGACUUGAGUACUGAUGAGGUAGGCGGAAUGGACGGUGUAGCGGUGAAAUGCUUAGAUAUCGUCCAGAACACCGAUAGCGAAGGCAGCUUACUAAGGAGUAACUGACGCUGAGGCACGAAAGUGUGGGGAUCAAACAGGAUUAGAUACCCUGGUAGUCCACACUGUAAACGAUGAUUACUCGAUGUUGGCGAUAUACAGCCAGCGUCUUAGCGAAAGCGAUAAGUAAUCCACCUGGGGAGUACGCCGGCAACGGUG
RNAcentral lists this ribosomal RNA (368 nucleotides) under uncultured organism. Its description in RNAcentral is "bacterial SSU rRNA". It matches the Rfam family "Bacterial small subunit ribosomal RNA", at positions 526 to 896 of the family's 1533-position model. The record is from RNAcentral.